RNAcentral lists this ribosomal RNA (521 nucleotides) under uncultured bacterium. Its description in RNAcentral is "bacterial SSU rRNA". It matches the Rfam family "Bacterial small subunit ribosomal RNA", at positions 355 to 896 of the family's 1533-position model. The record is from RNAcentral.
UCGGGAAUAUUGCACAAUGGAGGAAACUCUGAUGCAGUGACACCGCGUAUAGGAAGAAGGCCUUAGGGUUGUAAGCUAUUGUCGUGUGAGAAGAAAAUGACUAUCACAGGAGGAAGCCCUGGCUAAAUAUGUGCCAGCAGCCGCGGUAAUACAUAUGGGGCGAGCGUUAUCCGGAUUUAUUGGGUGUAAAGGGUUCGUAGGCGGGAAAGUAAGUCAGUAUGUGAAAUCCCUCGGCUCAACCGAGGAACUGCGAUUGAAACUAUUUUUCUUGAGUACUGGAGGGGAAAGUGGAAUUCUUAGUGUAGCGGUGAAAUGCGUAGAUAUUAGGAAGAACACCAGUGGCGAAGGCGACUUUCUGGACAGUAACUGACGCUGAGGAACGAAAGUGUGGGGAGCAAACAGGAUUAGAUACCCUGGUAGUCCACACUGUAAACGAUGGAUACUAGGGGUUGGCAUAGGAAAUGUCGGUCCCGCAGUUAACGCAUUAAGUAUCCCACCUGGGGAGUACGACCGCAAGGUUA